UGGGGAAUUUUGGACAAUGGGGGAAACCCUGAUCCAGCCAUUCCGCGUGUGCGAUGAAGGCCUUCGGGUUGUAAAGCACUUUUGGCAGGAAAGAAAUCGCACGGGUUAAUAACCCGUGUGGAUGACGGUACCUGCAGAAUAAGCACCGGCUAACUACGUGCCAGCAGCCGCGGUAAUACGUAGGGUGCAAGCGUUAAUCGGAAUUACUGGGCGUAAAGCGUGCGCAGGCGGUUCGGAAAGAAGGAUGUGAAAUCCCAGGGCUUAACCUUGGAACUGCAUUCUUAACUACCGGGCUAGAGUAUGUCAGAGGGAGGUGGAAUUCCGCGUGUAGCAGUGAAAUGCGUAGAUAUGCGGAGGAACACCGAUGGCGAAGGCAGCCUCCUGGGAUAAUACUGACACUGAGGAGCGAAAGCGUGGGGAGCGAACAGG
RNAcentral lists this ribosomal RNA (429 nucleotides) under uncultured bacterium. Its description in RNAcentral is "bacterial SSU rRNA". It matches the Rfam family "Bacterial small subunit ribosomal RNA", at positions 355 to 776 of the family's 1533-position model. The record is from RNAcentral.